This 310-nucleotide long non-coding RNA is filed under the name Pelobates cultripes (western spadefoot toad). Lineage: Eukaryota; Metazoa; Chordata; Amphibia; Anura; Pelobatidae. The record is from RNAcentral.
CAUCUCUGUAAUGAGAAGGGGUGUGGUCUAAUGACAUCAACACCCCAUAUCAGGUGUGCAUAAUUAUUAGGCAACUUCCUUUCCUUUGGCAAAAUGGGUCAAAAGAAGGACUUGACAGGCUCAGAAAAGUCAAAAAUAGUGAGAUAUCUUGCAGAGGGAUGCAGCACUCUUAAAAUUGCAAAGCUUCUGAAGCGUGAUCAUCGAACAAUCAAGCGUUUCAUUCAAAAUAGUCAACUGGGUCGCAAGAAGCGUGUGGAAAAACCAAGGCGCAAAAUAACUGCCCAUGAACUGAGAAAAGUCAAGCGUGCAG